This is a long non-coding RNA of Mirounga angustirostris (Northern elephant seal), 2249 nucleotides long. RefSeq lists it as uncharacterized. The transcript is spliced from 3 exons. The record is from RefSeq and is a predicted model, not a curated record. Lineage: Eukaryota; Metazoa; Chordata; Mammalia; Carnivora; Phocidae.
UGCCUUGAACUGGCUGGAAAAUACCAACACAGAUUCGGGAGGGUUGGGAAGGAAGAGAGGGUUCCCCCAGGUAGAGAGCGGGCUCGAGGGAGCUGGCUGGGAACCCUUGCCCUGUGUGUCCACUUGGAUCUGAUUGCUGCUGGUAUCACCCCUCCCACCCACUGAUGGACCGAUGCAUUGUUCCCUGGCUUGAAGCAGGGCCUGGGGAAUCUCCCCUUCCCACCGGUGGUCUCCCCAACCAAUGGUGAUAAGUUACCCCCCAGGGGACUGCAAUCUCUGGACUCGGGACCUGGAUCAGGAGUGGGCGGCAGCUCCAUCCCUCACUGAGUUGUGGCCUCCUGCCUGAUGUCCACCAGACAGAUGCCGCACUGCUAUCCUGGGCCCAGGUGGCCACUGCUAUGCCCCGCCCCAAGAUGCUGCAGGACAGGCGCACCCAACCAGGAUCUUCCCCACCUGUGCCCAGGCCCUUCCUGGGGCAGAAGGUGGCAGUGCUCACUGGCCAGGCCCAAGGAGGGGAGGCUGGGCAGGCUUGGGUUCCAGGGGACAGGAAAGUGGGAGGAGAAAUCCCCCUCCCCCUCCAGCUGGGAACUUCUGAUGGGCGUGGCCGCAGGAAGCAGGGCCCCAUAAACAGUCUCUGAGCCUCCGCAGCCCCUUGCAUGCUCCAAGCUUCCACUACCCCAUCAGACUUCACUUACACAACAUAGUUUUAAGCCUGGGGCUGCACAGCAUUAAACCCCAAGCAUGGGGCCCUUCUGAGCUUAGGUCCCUAUGGGACUACCCUGGUCAGUGGUGUACUCUUGGAGCUGGGCCUGCAUGCAGGAGCAAAGAGCAAGUGAGCCAGAGGAGAGUCAAUGCCCCUGUCAGCAAGGCCAGCCCUGCCCAUUUCCCGCUCCCAGCAGGGUCCCUCCUGAUCCACAAACAGCUCUCUGAAGAGUGGAUUUGUUCCUUGGACAAAGCCUUCUUUUCUCUCGAUCCUGCCCCGUUCAGCACUGCCCUCAAUUCUCCCCGCCCGCUCAGGGUUUUAAGCCUGGUGCUUUGACCCAACCCCCACUGCUGGGAGAGUGGGCUGCACUCCUGGACUCAGAGGUGAUCAGUGCAGAGGCCACAUGAGCCAAGGGUACUCCCAGCCUCAAGUUUUGAAAACGCUUUCUUCCUGACAAUGGUAGACUGAACUAGCCUCUUGGGUCCUACUGGGAAAUCACCGUUAACUCUCUCGCUCUUCAAGAAGGGAGAAGAAAGGCAACUCCCUAUGUGAUAGGCUCACAGCCUAGAGACGACACACAGCUUCUUGGUCAAGCCUGGCACGCCACCCCGGAGAUCCAGUCCUAAGAAGCCACAGGCUUCCUCUUCUUCCUGGUCUCUCAGUAAUUAACAUCACUUCCCAGAGAAAGAUCUCAAUUUCAGAUUAUGAUACAGAUUCCACCGAGAUUCUCCUCACGGCUGCAGCAAAAACAAAUCUGUGACAAGAUUUGCCAAAUACAAAAGACUUGGAGUCCUAUGAUACACUUACUGAGGUCUCUUUCAGGACCAGCGAGAUGUCUAAUUCAAAAGAGGAAGCUAACCAGUGCUAGAGGAGAUGGUCCUGCUCCUUGGUCUGGAGCAGACGUUCAAAGUGGUGGUCUGUGAAUCAUCCGCAGCAGAACUACACGGAAUGAUGUUUUCAAAAGCAGAUCCCUGCAUCCCCGCUUCAGAGCUGCUAAAUCCCCGUGGGGGGAGGGGUCAGAAUCCACAUUCUACAUAAGGCGAGUGUUUGUACUCUUGCAUCUAUUGACAUUUGUGAAUCGAAGCUUGAAGUGGUUCUGAAACUACUGAGGCGGCCUCAGGAUCACCUGGAGAUGGCUGGGCCCCACUUACGGAGUUUCUGAUUUGGCGGGGCUGGGGCAGGGCCUGAGAAUCUGCCUUUCUUCUGAGUUCCUGAGUGAUCCUGAUGUUGCUGGUCCGAGAGCACCACUGGAUAAGGCUAUGAGGCCCCCAGAGGACCAGCGUCUCAGCCUGCUGGAGAGUCAGGGUUACUGGUGGACCCCCGACUCAUGAUCCAGAUGACCGAGCCAUGCUGUUCCCCAGUUGCAAGAGAAGAACGUAAUUUUCUAAGCAAUAACAUCCAUUAAAGGAGUAAAAUAUGAGCACUAUGCCCAGCCUGCCCUGAUGAGUUUAGAAAGGUUUAGUCUCUUCAUAAGCUAAGGGCAAAGUUAGGAAGCUGCUUUCAUUCCUCCAAUAAGAAUAAAAUCAAAUGGUGCGUAUGGUCUGCC